Ornithodoros turicata is the source of this 420-nucleotide long non-coding RNA. RefSeq lists it as uncharacterized. Lineage: Eukaryota; Metazoa; Arthropoda; Arachnida; Ixodida; Argasidae. The record is from RefSeq and is a predicted model, not a curated record. The transcript has 5 exons.
UUGUCUCGCGUUCCGUCGUUGCUCUGGUGCCCUGGACUGCUGUGAAUGUGUUUUUAUGCCCUACUAGUGUUGCCUGGGGGUGCUUUUAUGUGUGCACCCUGGAAGAUAGGUCCAGAAGCCUUGCGAUUUCUUAGAUUAAAGAUACUUUCGACGUAUUCAUUGCGGUGAACAACGCGGUUGGGACAGCACACUCACGACGUGGGAAGGUCACAGAAAUGUUGAAAGACAUCAGAUAGGGCAUACGCUUCACCUGUGCAACUUCGUCAUGUGCUCCACGGCAGCACAAGCCUUUACGGCUGUGCCACUAUGUGUGGAAACGUCGUAGCGGAUGAAUGUGAAUUAUGGAUCUCCAAGUGGCGUCGCCCGCGUCAUUUUCAAGAUUUUACCCGUUUUGAAGGCAAUAGGGCUGUUGAUAGGGAG